Molecule: ribosomal RNA, 2903 nt
Filed under: Klebsiella quasipneumoniae subsp. similipneumoniae
Lineage: Bacteria; Pseudomonadati; Pseudomonadota; Gammaproteobacteria; Enterobacterales; Enterobacteriaceae
Description: 23S ribosomal RNA
Rfam family: Bacterial large subunit ribosomal RNA
Source: RNAcentral
GGUUAAGCGACUAAGCGUACACGGUGGAUGCCCUGGCAGUCAGAGGCGAUGAAGGACGUGCUAAUCUGCGAAAAGCGUCGGUAAGGUGAUAUGAACCGUUAUAACCGGCGAUGUCCGAAUGGGGAAACCCAGUGCAAUUCGUUGCACUAUCGUUAACUGAAUACAUAGGUUAACGAGGCGAACCGGGGGAACUGAAACAUCUAAGUACCCCGAGGAAAAGAAAUCAACCGAGAUUCCCCCAGUAGCGGCGAGCGAACGGGGAGCAGCCCAGAGUCUGAAUCAGCUUGUGUGUUAGUGGAACGGUCUGGAAAGUCCGACGGUACAGGGUGAUAGUCCCGUACACCAAAAUGCACAGGUUGUGAACUCGAAGAGUAGGGCGGGACACGUGGUAUCCUGUCUGAAUAUGGGGGGACCAUCCUCCAAGGCUAAAUACUCCUGACUGACCGAUAGUGAACCAGUACCGUGAGGGAAAGGCGAAAAGAACCCCGGCGAGGGGAGUGAAAAAGAACCUGAAACCGUGUACGUACAAGCAGUGGGAGCACCUUUAUGGUGUGACUGCGUACCUUUUGUAUAAUGGGUCAGCGACUUAUAUUCUGUAGCAAGGUUAACCGUAUAGGGGAGCCGCAGGGAAACCGAGUCUUAACUGGGCGUUAAGUUGCAGGGUAUAGACCCGAAACCCGGUGAUCUAGCCAUGGGCAGGUUGAAGGUUGGGUAACACUAACUGGAGGACCGAACCGACUAAUGUUGAAAAAUUAGCGGAUGACUUGUGGCUGGGGGUGAAAGGCCAAUCAAACCGGGAGAUAGCUGGUUCUCCCCGAAAGCUAUUUAGGUAGCGCCUCGUGAAUUCAUCUUCGGGGGUAGAGCACUGUUUCGGCUAGGGGGUCAUCCCGACUUACCAACCCGAUGCAAACUACGAAUACCGAAGAAUGUUAUCACGGGAGACACACGGCGGGUGCUAACGUCCGUCGUGAAGAGGGAAACAACCCAGACCGCCAGCUAAGGUCCCAAAGUCAUGGUUAAGUGGGAAACGAUGUGGGAAGGCACAGACAGCCAGGAUGUUGGCUUAGAAGCAGCCAUCAUUUAAAGAAAGCGUAAUAGCUCACUGGUCGAGUCGGCCUGCGCGGAAGAUGUAACGGGGCUAAACCAUGCACCGAAGCUGCGGCAGCGACACUAUGUGUUGUUGGGUAGGGGAGCGUUCUGUAAGCCUGCGAAGGUGACCUGUGAGGGUUGCUGGAGGUAUCAGAAGUGCGAAUGCUGACAUAAGUAACGAUAAAGCGGGUGAAAAGCCCGCUCGCCGGAAGACCAAGGGUUCCUGUCCAACGUUAAUCGGGGCAGGGUGAGUCGACCCCUAAGGCGAGGCCGAAAGGCGUAGUCGAUGGGAAACAGGUUAAUAUUCCUGUACUUGGUGUUACUGCGAAGGGGGGACGGAGAAGGCUAUGUUAGCCGGGCGACGGUUGUCCCGGUUUAAGCAUGUAGGCUGGUUAUCCAGGCAAAUCCGGAUAAUCAAGGCUGAGGUGUGAUGACGAGGCACUACGGUGCUGAAGUAACAAAUGCCCUGCUUCCAGGAAAAGCCUCUAAGCAUCAGGUAACACGAAAUCGUACCCCAAACCGACACAGGUGGUCAGGUAGAGAAUACCAAGGCGCUUGAGAGAACUCGGGUGAAGGAACUAGGCAAAAUGGUGCCGUAACUUCGGGAGAAGGCACGCUGGUGUGUAGGUGAAGCCCCUGCGGGUGGAGCUGAGACCAGUCGAAGAUACCAGCUGGCUGCAACUGUUUAUUAAAAACACAGCACUGUGCAAACACGAAAGUGGACGUAUACGGUGUGACGCCUGCCCGGUGCCGGAAGGUUAAUUGAUGGGGUUAUCCGUAAGGAGAAGCUCUUGAUCGAAGCCCCGGUAAACGGCGGCCGUAACUAUAACGGUCCUAAGGUAGCGAAAUUCCUUGUCGGGUAAGUUCCGACCUGCACGAAUGGCGUAAUGAUGGCCAGGCUGUCUCCACCCGAGACUCAGUGAAAUUGAACUCGCUGUGAAGAUGCAGUGUACCCGCGGCAAGACGGAAAGACCCCGUGAACCUUUACUAUAGCUUGACACUGAACAUUGAGCCUUGAUGUGUAGGAUAGGUGGGAGGCUUUGAAGCGUGGACGCCAGUCUGCGUGGAGCCAACCUUGAAAUACCACCCUUUAAUGUUUGAUGUUCUAACGUUGGCCCCUUAUCGGGGUUGCGGACAGUGUCUGGUGGGUAGUUUGACUGGGGCGGUCUCCUCCCAAAGCGUAACGGAGGAGCACGAAGGUUAGCUAAUCCUGGUCGGACAUCAGGAGGUUAGUGCAAUGGCAUAAGCUAGCUUGACUGCGAGCGUGACGGCGCGAGCAGGUGCGAAAGCAGGUCAUAGUGAUCCGGUGGUUCUGAAUGGAAGGGCCAUCGCUCAACGGAUAAAAGGUACUCCGGGGAUAACAGGCUGAUACCGCCCAAGAGUUCAUAUCGACGGCGGUGUUUGGCACCUCGAUGUCGGCUCAUCACAUCCUGGGGCUGAAGUAGGUCCCAAGGGUAUGGCUGUUCGCCAUUUAAAGUGGUACGCGAGCUGGGUUUAGAACGUCGUGAGACAGUUCGGUCCCUAUCUGCCGUGGGCGCUGGAGAAUUGAGGGGGGCUGCUCCUAGUACGAGAGGACCGGAGUGGACGCAUCACUGGUGUUCGGGUUGUCAUGCCAAUGGCACUGCCCGGUAGCUAAAUGCGGAAGAGAUAAGUGCUGAAAGCAUCUAAGCACGAAACUUGCCCCGAGAUGAGUUCUCCCUGAGACUUUAAGUCUCCUGAAGGAACGUUGAAGACGACGACGUUGAUAGGCCGGGUGUGUAAGCGCAGCGAUGCGUUGAGCUAACCGGUACUAAUGAACCGUGAGGCUUAACCUU